AACCUAGCACACCUGCGGUGUGUACCUGCGGAAGGAUCAUUACUGAAGAAAUGGUAGCAGUUGAGCUGACUCCUAGGAGUAUGUGCUCGCUCUAUCGCUUUUUCUACUCUCCACUGUGCACCUAUUGUAGGCUAUGAUAACUCUCAAAAGUCUCUUACGAGUCGAUUGGACAGAAGGCUAUGCAAUUCAUUUGCUUGCUUUCGACUUUGUAGCCUAUGUCUAUACAAACUCUUGAUAGUC
This 240-nucleotide unclassified non-coding RNA is filed under the name soil metagenome. RNAcentral's name for it is "partial contains 5.8S ribosomal RNA, internal transcribed spacer 2, and large subunit ribosomal RNA". The record is from RNAcentral.